Populus euphratica (Euphrates poplar) is the source of this 468-nucleotide long non-coding RNA. RefSeq lists it as uncharacterized. The transcript is spliced from 2 exons. Lineage: Eukaryota; Viridiplantae; Streptophyta; Magnoliopsida; Malpighiales; Salicaceae. The record is from RefSeq and is a predicted model, not a curated record.
GCCCACUGCUGGAAGGUCUUGUAGACUUGGAUGCUGCUUUAUGCCUUUGCACCGCUAUCAAGGCUAAACUUCUCAACAUCAAUCUUAUUAUACCCAUUGCUCUUGAGCUCCUUGUUGACUGUGGCAAGACCCCACCUGAAGGGUUCAAGUGUCCUUCCUAAUUAAUUAGGUUGUGCUGCAACUCACAGAGUAUACAUGUGUGGGCUUGAAAGCAUAAUUAAAGAAUAACUGCACGAGGGAUCUUCAAAUGGCUAGAAUGAAGCAUUUUUAUAUAGGAUAUCUUGUGUUUUGUUCUCCUAGAGAAUUUUCUUCUGUUCUUCUUUCCCUUUUAUAGAGAAUAUAUUGCGUGUUAAUUUGUUUUACUUCUUGUUUACCUAUUAUGGCUAUACUUUGUCAAGGGCCAGGGGUUGAUGUUCUUCGUGUACCCACUACUUGAAAUUAAUAUUAUAAAAAUUUGUUUCCAUGUUA